Long non-coding RNA from Oncorhynchus keta (chum salmon), 556 nucleotides. RefSeq lists it as uncharacterized. NCBI's taxonomy places the organism in Eukaryota, Metazoa, Chordata, Actinopteri, Salmoniformes, Salmonidae. The record is from RefSeq and is a predicted model, not a curated record. The transcript has 4 exons.
GGUAGUAGUGAGUCAGGGUACUGGGGUACGAGGUAGUAUUGAGUCGGGGUACUGGGGUACGAGGUAGUAGUGAGUCGGGGUACUGGGGUACGAGGUAGUAGUGAGUCGGGGUACUGGGGUACGAGGUAGUAGUGAGUCGGUGUACUGGGGAACGAGGUAGUAGUGAGUCGGCGUACUGGAGUACGAGGUAGUAGUGAGUCGGGGUACUGGGGUACGAGGUAGUAGUGAGUCGGGGUACUGGGGUACGAGGUAGUAGUGAGUCGGUGUACUGGGGUACGAGGUAGUAGUGAGUCGGGGUACUGGGGUACGAGGUAGUAGUGAGUCGGGGUACUGGGGUACGAGGUAGUAGUGAGUCGGUGUACUGGGGUACGAGGUAGUUGGGAGAGUUAUUGAGGUAAUAUGUACGUGUAGGUUUGGUCAGGUUAUUUUUAGUACUAUGUACAUAGUAGGAGAGAAAGGCAUAAAGUCCGGGUAGCCAUUUGAUUAACUGAUAGAGACACUGACCUGUCUCUCUACCUGUACAGGUGUGUACCUGUCUGAGACUGACCUGUGUCUC